GACGAACGCUGGCGGCGUGCUUAACACAUGCAAGUCGAACGGAAAGGCCCUGCUUUUGUGGGGUGCUCGAGUGGCGAACGGGUGAGUAACACGUGAGUAACCUGCCCUUGGCUUUGGGAUAACUUCAGGAAACUGGGGCUAAUACCGGAUAGGAGCUCCUGCUGCAUGGUGGGGGGUGGAAAGUUUCGGCGGUUGGGGAUGGACUCGCGGCUUAUCAGCUUGUUGGUGGGGUAGUGGCUUACCAAGGCUUUGACGGGUAGCCGGCCUGAGAGGGUGACCGGCCACAUUGGGACUGAGAUACGGCCCAGACUCCUACGGGAGGCAGCAGUGGGGAAUAUUGCACAAUGGGCGGAAGCCUGAUGCAGCAACGCCGCGUGCGGGAUGACGGCCUUCGGGUUGUAAACCGCUUUCGCCUGUGACGAAGCGUGAGUGACGGUAAUGGGUAAAGAAGCACCGGCUAACUACGUG
Molecule: ribosomal RNA, 468 nt
Filed under: uncultured bacterium
Lineage: Bacteria
Description: partial 16S ribosomal RNA
Rfam family: Bacterial small subunit ribosomal RNA
Source: RNAcentral